GGGCAGGAACAACAACAACAACAUCCGGCCGGCAGCACGCCACGCCCCGCAACGCACGGGAACACGCCAUGGGCGGCGGGGGCGGGCGCUGCGCUGUUUAUUAAGGUUGGAAAAGACCUCAAAAACCAUCUGGUCCAGCUGUCAGCCCAUCAUCACUGUGCCCACUAACCAUGUCUGUAAAUGCUACAUCUACACAUUCCCUGAACACCUCUGGGGAUGCAGUCCUAAAACUGGGAAAACUGGCCAAGUUUCAUAUUGGCAAAAGCUAGUGAAAACCCACUGGUUUCAGUGAAGCUUCAUAUGCGAGUUCACUCCACAAAUGAAUUGGUGGAUAUCACACAAGUAGUCACACCUUCACUGCUGGACCCCUGGCAGCCACUCACUGUCAGCCAUGAGACACUUGCUCGGCCAGAAUAGAGCCCAUCUGUGCCUCCUUAUCACCACAUUUACUUGCCCAAAAUGGUGAGAUACCUCUCCUAUCAACAGUGCAUUGUCCUUUUACAAGGAACAAUAUGAAUAUUGCCAGUCUUGUACUGAUUGUAUUUUUAAGCCACUUAUUCUCUUGAUAUCUAAAUAAAAGAUGGUGGGUUUAAAGUUCAA
Molecule: long non-coding RNA, 600 nt
Organism: Coturnix japonica (Japanese quail)
Lineage: Eukaryota; Metazoa; Chordata; Aves; Galliformes; Phasianidae
Source: RefSeq, a predicted model, not a curated record